CCUACGGGGCGCUGCAGUGGGGGAUAUUGCACAAUGGGGGAAACCCUGAUGCAGCGACGCCGCGUGUAGGAAGACGGUCCUCUGGAUUGUAAACUACUGUCCCCAGGGACGAAGAUGACGGUACCUGGGGAGGAAGCUCCGGCUAACUACGUGCCAGCAGCCGCGGUAAUACGUAGGGAGCGAGCGUUGUCCGGAAUUACUGGGUGUAAAGGGAGCGUAGGCGGGGAUGCAAGUUGGGUGUUAAAUCUACCGGCUCAACUGGUAGUCGCACUCAAAACUGCAGCUCUUGAGUGAAGUAGAGGCAGGCGGAAUUCCUAGUGUAGCGGUGAAAUGCGUAGAUAUUAGGAGGAACACCAGUGGCGAAGGCGGCCUGCUGGACGAUGACUGACGCUGAGGCUCGAAAGCGUGGGGAGCAAACAGGAUUAGAUACCCUUGUAGUC
This 440-nucleotide ribosomal RNA is filed under the name uncultured bacterium. RNAcentral describes it as "partial 16S ribosomal RNA". It matches the Rfam family "Bacterial small subunit ribosomal RNA", at positions 338 to 795 of the family's 1533-position model. The record is from RNAcentral.